RNAcentral lists this ribosomal RNA (484 nucleotides) under uncultured Sphingobacteriales bacterium. RNAcentral describes it as "bacterial SSU rRNA". It matches the Rfam family "Bacterial small subunit ribosomal RNA", at positions 898 to 1382 of the family's 1533-position model. Lineage: Bacteria; Pseudomonadati; Bacteroidota; Sphingobacteriia; Sphingobacteriales. The record is from RNAcentral.
AACUCAAAGGAAGUUGACCGGGGGCCCGCACAAGCGGAGGAACAUGUGGUUUAAUUCGAUGAUACGCGAGGAACCUUACCUGGGCUUAAAUGGGGAGUGACAGCUGUCGAAAGAUGGUUUUCUUCGGACACUCUUCAAGGUGCUGCAUGGUUGUCGUCAGCUCGUGCCGUGAGGUGUCGGGUUAAGUCCCAUAACGAGCGCAACCCUUACCGUUAGUUACCAUCAGGUUAAGCUGGGGACUCUAGCGGGACUGCCACCGUAAGGUGAGAGGAAGGUGGGGAUGACGUCAAAUCAGCACGGCCCUUAUGUCCAGGGCUACACACGUGUUACAAUGGCCGGUACAAAGGGCAGCUACUUCGCGAGAAGAUGCUAAUCUCGAAAGCCGGGCUCAGUUCGGAUCGAAGUCUGCAACCCGACUUCGUGAAGCUGGAUUCGCUAGUAAUCGCGCAUCAGCCAUGGCGCGGUGAAUACGUUCCCGGGCCUU